RNAcentral lists this ribosomal RNA (2704 nucleotides) under Capsicum chinense (habanero). RNAcentral describes it as "eukaryotic LSU rRNA". The stretch from base 384 to 2704 matches the Rfam family "Eukaryotic large subunit ribosomal RNA". The record is from RNAcentral. Lineage: Eukaryota; Viridiplantae; Streptophyta; Magnoliopsida; Solanales; Solanaceae.
UGUAACCAAAAAUGACUCUCGGCAAUAGAUAUCUCGGCUCUCGCAUCGAUGAAGAACGUAGCAAAAUGUGAUACUUGGUGUGAAUUAUAGAAUCCCAUGAACCAUAGAGUAUUUGAACUCAAGUUGCGCCCGAAGCUAUUAGGUCGAGGGCAUGUCUUCCUGGGCAUCACACAUCGCGUCGCCCCCUCGCAUCGUGCCUCAAUCAUGGGGUGCACUAUACUGGCCUCCCAUGCACCUCGAGCUCGCGGCUGGCCUAAAUGCGAGUCCACGUCGACGGACGUCGCGGAAAGUGGUAGUUGUAUCUCAACUCUCUUUGUUGUCGCGACUAUAGCCCAUCGCGUGUCUAAACUCCAGGAUCCUUUAGCACUUCGACACUCCAACAGCAACCCUAGGUCAUGCGGGAUUACCCAAAAUAGCCCAGCAUUAGAAUCAGGCGGCUCUGUCACCCGAAUUAUAGUUUGGAGAAGCGUCCUCAGCGACGGAGCAGGCCCAACUCCCCUGGAAGUGGGCGCUAGAGAGGGUGAGAUCCCCAUUAUGCCCGGACCCUGUCACACCACGGGGCACUAUCUACGUGUUGGGUUGUUUGGGAAUGUAGCCCAAAUCAGACGGUGAAUUCCGUCUAAGGCUAAAUACGAGCAAAAGACCGAUAGCGAACAAGUACCACAAGGGAAAGAUGAAAAGGACUUUGAAAAGAGAGUCAAAGAGUGAUUGAAAUUAUCGGGAGAGAAGUUGAUGGAGGCCGGUGAUGCACCCUGGUAUGAUGUGGAAUGGCGAUGAGUCGGUCUGCCGAUCGACUCGGGGCAUGGACCAGCAUAGAUUAGGGGGACGCCCAAGGCUCGGGCUCCCGAUACACUCGUUAAAUGCCGUCUCCUCGAUUGUGGAAGGCAGCGCAUACCUCCAGCAUGCUUUGGCAUCUGCGCGCUAUGGACGCUGGCUUGUGGGCUCCCUAUUUAAACCAUCUUGAAAACCAGGAUGUGGCGGUCAACGACAACGUUAGGUAGUCAGGAGAAGUCGGCAGGAGCCUCGGGAAGAGUUAUCUUUUCUAUUUAAAAGACUGCCAACUCUUAAAUAGACUAAGCCGGAGGAAGGGUCCAGCGGCUGGAAGAGCACCGCACUUCGCAUGGUGUCCGGUGCACUACCGGUGGCCCUUGAAAAUCCAAAGGACCUAAUGCCAUCCAUGCCCAGUCGUACUCAUUACCACAUCAGGUCUCCAAGGGGAACAACCUCUGGUCGAUGGAAAAAUAUAUGCAAGGGAAGUGAGCGAAAUAGAUCCGUAACUUCUGGAAAAGGAUUGGCACUGAGGGCUGGGUAUGGGGGUCCCAGUCCCGAACCCGUCGGCUGUUGGUGGACUACUCGAGCUGCUCUUGUAGCGAGAGUGGGUCCCUGUGUGUCGAUUGGGUGACGGACUAGGAACGGUUCCUUCGGAGGCCUUCCUCGUGCGUCGAAUAGCCAACUCAGAACUGGAACGGACAAGGGGAAUCCAACUGUUUAAUUAAAACAAAGCAUUGCGAUAGUCCCAAUGGAUGUUCACGCAUUUUGAUUUCUGCCCAUUGCUCUGAAUGUCAAAGUGAAGAAAUUUAACCAAGCAUGGAUAAACGGCGGGAGUAACUAUGACUCUCUUAUGGUAGUCAAAUACCUCGUCAUCUAAUUAGCGAUGUGCAUGUAUGGAUUAAUGAGAUUCCCACUAUCCCUGUCUACUAUCCAAGAAACCACAACCAAGGGAACGGGCUUGGCAGAAUCAGUGGGGAAAGAAGACCCUCUUGAGCUUGACUCUACUCCGACUUUAUGAAAUGACUUGAGAGGUGUAGUAUAAGUGGGAGUCGUAAGGCGAAAGUGAAAUACCACUACUUUUAAUGUUAUUUACUUAUUUCAUGAAUCGGAAUGGGGCACUGCCCCUCUUUUUGGACCCAAGGCUCGCUCUGCGUGCCGAUCCGAGAUGAAGACAUUAUCAGGUAGGGAGUUUGGCUUGGGCGGCAUAUCUGUUAAAAGAUAAUGCAGGUGUCCUAUGAUGAGCUUAACGAGAACAGAAAUAUCGUGUGGAAUAGAAGGGUAAAAGCUUGUUUGAUUCUGAUUACUAGUACGAAUACGAACCAUGAAAACGUGGCCUAACGAUCCUUUAGACCUUUGGAAUUCGAAGCUAGAAGUGUCAGAAAAGUGUCACCACAGGGAUAACUGGCUUGUUGCAUCCAAGCGUUCAUAGCAACAUUGAUUUUUCAUCCUUCGAUGUCGGCUAUUCCUAUCAUUGUGAAGCAGAAUUCACCAAGUGUUGGACUGUUCACCCACCAAUAGGUAACGUGAGCUGGGUUUAGACCGUCGUGAGACAGGUUAGUUUUACCCCACUUAUGACAGUGUUGCAGUAGUAAUUCAACCUAGUACGAGAGAAAACAUUGAUUCACACAAGUUUUCAUCGCACUUGGUUGAAAAGCCAGUGGCGCAAAGCUACCGUGUGCUGGAUUAUGACUGAACGCCUCUAAGUCAGAAUCCAGGCUAGAAGCGACGCAUGCGCCCGCUGUCUACUUUCUGACCCAUAGUAGGGGCCUCGGCCCCCAAGGACAUGUAUCAUUUACUAAGACACCGCGAAGGAAGAGUCGCGGUGGCCGCCUUGAAGUGUAAUUUCCAUCAAGCGGUGGGUAGAAUCCUUUGCGGAUGACUUAAAUAUACGAUGGGUUAUUGUAAGUGGAAGAGUGGCCUUGCUGCCACGAUC